Molecule: long non-coding RNA, 3051 nt
Filed under: Brassica napus (rape)
Lineage: Eukaryota; Viridiplantae; Streptophyta; Magnoliopsida; Brassicales; Brassicaceae
Description: long non-coding RNA (BNAP_LNC008660)
Source: RNAcentral
UUGUUUUUGCGAAGAAACAGGAAACGAUGUCGGUGUUCGACGCUGCUAUCGUCAACACGGAGCUUUCCAAACCGACGUCGAUCUUCGGUCUCCGGCUAUGGGUCGUCAUCGGAAUCUUACUCGGAUCUCUAAUCGUCAUCGCCCUCUUCCUCCUCUCCCUCUGCCUCACCUCCCGCCGCAAAAACCGCAAACCGCGAGCCGACUUCGCCUCCGCCGCCGUGGCAACGCCGCCGAUUUCGAAGGAGAUUAAGGAGAUCGUUCCGGCGCCGGCGGAGAUCCAGGUGGACAUAGGGAAGAUGGAGCACAGAGUGGUGUUCUCGGAUCGAGUGUCGAGCGGGGAGAGCAGAGGAACGGCGAGUGCGAGCGAGACGGCGUCGUAUUCGGGGAGCGGGAACGUGGGGCCGGAGGUGUCGCAUCUGGGAUGGGGGAGGUGGUAUACUCUGAGGGAGCUCGAGGCGGCCACGAAUGGGCUGUGUGAGGAGAAUGUGAUCGGAGAAGGCGGUUACGGGAUAGUGUAUCGUGGGGUGUUAACCGACGGUACUAAAGUCGCCGUCAAGAACUUGCUUAAUAACAGGUAAACAAAUUGAUCCAUUACUCAUUUCUAGAUUUAUGUGUAGAGCCCGAGGGAGAUGAGUGACAGCGAUCAGAGUCAAUUCACUGCCGUGCGUAUGAUUGUGGUCCUUGAAAGUUGUUGUUUUUGUUAUUGAAUUCAUCAUAUGUAUAGAUGAUGAUGUCAUGCGUCACAUGUGGUUUUGAUGACUAAUAAGUAAAUACUAUGCUUUUGGAUUUAGAUCUCUCUAUAUCAAGUGUAAGAUUUGUAAGUGUUUCUUAUAAUAAUUAUUACAGGGGACAGGCAGAGAAGGAAUUCAAAGUAGAAGUGGAAGUGAUUGGGCGUGUACGGCACAAGAAUCUCGUUAGGCUUUUAGGUUAUUGCGUUGAAGGUGCUUACAGGUAAAAUGCUGAUGCUCAUUUCUCCUUCUUUUUUUUUUUUAAUUUGGGAAGAAACCAAUGUUGUGAUCUGAUGUGUGAGUUCUGUCUACUUACAGGAUGCUAGUGUAUGACUUUGUGGAUAAUGGCAAUUUGGAGCAAUGGAUUCACGGUGAUGUUGGUGAUGUGAGCCCUCUAACUUGGGAUAUUCGUAUGAACAUCAUACUAGGGAUGGCUAAAGGGUAAUUUUUUUAUAAUUAUUUUAAGUAAAAAUAGAUUCAUCUCUAUGUUUGUAACAUUGUAAAUAUUUGGUGUAGAUUGGCGUAUCUACACGAGGGUCUUGAACCAAAAGUGGUACAUCGGGAUAUAAAAUCGGGGAAUAUAUUGCUUGAUCGCCAAUGGAAUGCUAAGGUUUCGGAUUUUGGACUUGCUAAGCUCUUGGGUUCCGACAGCAGUUAUGUGACCACCCGUGUCAUGGGAACCUUCGGGUAAAACUCUCUCCUCCUGAAUCAUCAUGCUAUAAAAGCCUUUAUAAAUCUGAAUCUUUAGGAAAUAACUUGUCACUUGUUCAGUUAUGUAGCGCCGGAAUAUGCAUGCACCGGAAUGUUAAACGAGAAGAGUGACAUCUACAGCUUUGGAAUAUUAAUCAUGGAGAUCAUCACUGGUAGAAACCCUGUUGAUUAUAGUCGCCCUCAAGGAGAGGUAUGUGUUUAUUGGUGGAUUCUUACACCCUCCUUGUUUCUAUUCCCUCUAUGUUUUUCUUAUACAUGUUUUUUUUUUCUCUGUGUGUGGGGUUUAUAGACGAAUCUAGUGGACUGGCUGAAAACAAUGGUAGGAAACCGAAGAUCAGAAGAAGUAGUUGAUCCCAAAAUAGCGGAACCACCAUCAUCGAAGGCUCUUAAACGAGUGUUGCUCGUUGCUUUGCGUUGUGUUGAUCCAGAUGCAAACAAGAGACCUAAAAUGGGACAUAUCAUUCAUAUGCUUGAAGCUGAAGACUCACUCUAUCGCGAUGUAAGCCAUUUUUUUUGUCUUUAUUAUAUUUUUUAUGAGUUAAAAUAAUUGUCUAAUGGUGAGACGAUGUUUUUUUUUGCAGGAACGCCGAACAACGAGGGACCAUGGAAACAGAGAUAAGCAAGAGACAGCGGCUACUGAAAGCGGGGAGAGCGGCUCGCGGCAUCACCAGCAAAAGCUAAGAUGAACAAAAGGAUCAUCAUUUUAAGUGACUUUGCUUCUCACACACGACCAAUUCCCACUUCAAUUGAUUCUUAUUAUUAUUAGUUUUGUGUCACAUUCACAUACAUAAAUAUUUUUCAUUCUUUGGCUCUUGAGUUACGUCUAAUUAACCUUUUUGUUUUUCCUUUUUGUAAUAUUUUGUCAACGUUCACAUAUCACAUGUCAUAUAUAUAUAUAUAAAAAUUGGAGUAUAAAAUGUAAUUGUUUUGGACCAACAUCGACGCUAUGUGCGUGCCGUUGCAUAACACGAUUGGUGGAUGGAUCAAAACUUAUCGCUUUAAGAACCGGUAUGGGUGCCCACAGGAUGCUUUAAGCUCGCGUGAUUGUGUUUCUAAACAAUUUAAGUAUUGUCGUGUGUAUGACCCCACUCCACUAGAUUAUGGACCUAAUGUAUAUGCGACUAUGAUCUUUAAAAUUUCCAAGUUGCAGUAAUUUUAAAUAGAUUAAAAUUUUAUAAUGAAAUUGGAUGACUAGCUUGUGAACACAAGAUAAGAGCACAGUCGUCACCCGAGCGACGACUCUGGAGUCUCUUCACGUGUAGGAGAAAAACUAAGAGGUAGACGACAUACAAUUUGAUAAAGGGUGAAAGAAAAUAUCGUGGUUCCAUUAUGUUCCAGACAUGAUUUGAUCAUUUUGAGAUUUCAUUAUCCAGGACCUUUGUUACCUAGCAGCUUGGCGUCCCAAACCACUUGGUUUGGUACCUUACUCGGAUCUCUAAUCGUCAUCGCCCUCUUCCUCCUCUCCCUCUGCCUCACCUCCCGCCGCAAAAACCGCAAACCGCGAGCCGACUUCGCCUCCGCCGCCGUGGCAACGCCGCCGAUUUCGAAGGAGAUUAAGGAGAUCGUUCCGGCGCCGGCGGAGAUCCAGGUGGACAUAGGGAAGAUGGAGCAC